RNAcentral lists this long non-coding RNA (260 nucleotides) under Mytilus galloprovincialis (Mediterranean mussel). The record is from RNAcentral. Lineage: Eukaryota; Metazoa; Mollusca; Bivalvia; Mytilida; Mytilidae.
GAUAAAUUUUGAGCAAAAUAAUCUUAUUGAUAGCGUUGAAAAACUAAAACAAAAAUAUAUAUCCCCUUUUUGAAGUAAAAUUGUUGCUCUCUACAACAUUAAUCGACGUCAUAAACAUCUCUGCUGACAACGUUAAUGUCGAAGUAUAGUCGAUUGCUGCAGACGGAUAAAUGUUUGGAAGUCUAAAGAAUUGACCCCGUGCAGCUUUUUUGGAAGAAAAAAGGAAUCGUAAGAAAAAUGUGGUAAGUGUUUUGCUUUUU